RNAcentral lists this ribosomal RNA (553 nucleotides) under uncultured bacterium. RNAcentral describes it as "bacterial SSU rRNA". It matches the Rfam family "Bacterial small subunit ribosomal RNA", at positions 921 to 1482 of the family's 1533-position model. The record is from RNAcentral.
CCGCACAAGCGGAGGAACAUGUGGUUUAAAUUCGAUGAUACGCGAGGAACCUUACCCGGGCUCGAACGGCAGAGGAACAAUCCAGAGAUGUGCGGCCCUUCGGGGCUUCUGUCGAGGUGCUGCAUGGUUGUCGUCAGCUCGUGCCGUGAGGUGUCGGCUCAAGUGCCAUAACGAGCGCAACCCUUGCCGUCAGUUACCAUCAAGUAGUGUUGGGGACUUCUGGCGGGACUGCCACCGCAAGGUGUGAGGAAGGGGGGGAUGACGUCAAAUCAGCACGGCCCUUACGUCCGGGGCGACACACGUGUUACAAUGGCGGCCACAGAGGGGCACUACCUGGCGACAGGAUGGGAAUCUCGAAAAGCCGUCUCAGUCCGGAUCGGAGUCUGCAACCCGACUCCGUGAAGCUGGAUUCGCUAGUAAUCGCGCAUCAGCCAUGGCGCGGUGAAUACGUUCCCGGGCCUUGUACACACCGCCCGUCAAGCCAUGAAAGUCUGGGGCGCCUGAAGUCCGUGACCGAGAGGAGCGGCCUAGGGCGAAACAGGUAAUUGGGGCU